UUUCUUUUUCGUGUUAGUAAUAAGACUUAAGUUGUUGCUUGUUUUACUCUCAUUUACACAUACAAACAGCCUACAAGUUAGUGUGGUGUUAGAUUUUCUUUUGUUUUGUUCUUAACCAUUUUGUCUGAUAACUUGCAGAUGUUGGCCUUCAUUCAUGUUUCGUCGCAAGGUCCAGGACGAAGAAGCCAGGAGAAGCACAAAGUUCUUGAUCAUUGGAGCUAGUUAUUGUUUUGAUUUUUUAGUUGUGUUACCUGAUGUGAACUAGUUUUGAUUGUAAACCUGAUGCGAACCAUGUUUGAUUGAAAUGUGCCAAGUUUGGAUAUGUUUGAUUGUAUUCAUGAUGUGACAGAGGUUCAAGUUAUAAUGGUUGUUUGACAUAUUUUGUAAUUUCUGAUGUGUGGGACCAAUUUUGAGAUCAGCAUGACAUGUGGGACUAGU
Molecule: long non-coding RNA, 438 nt
Filed under: Hordeum vulgare
Lineage: Eukaryota; Viridiplantae; Streptophyta; Magnoliopsida; Poales; Poaceae
Description: long non-coding RNA (HVUL_LNC015466)
Source: RNAcentral